This 98-nucleotide transfer RNA is filed under the name Candidatus Adiutrix sp. RNAcentral describes it as "tRNA-Sec". It matches the Rfam family "Selenocysteine transfer RNA". Lineage: Bacteria; Pseudomonadati; Thermodesulfobacteriota; Desulfarculia; Candidatus Adiutricales; Candidatus Adiutricaceae. The record is from RNAcentral.
GGGAAUAUCUGGGUAACUGGUGUGCCCCCUGGUCUUCAAAACCAGUGUUGGUGGUUAAUAGCCGCCUGGGUGGGUUCGAUUCCCACAUAUUCCCGCCA